Long non-coding RNA from Drosophila mauritiana, 391 nucleotides. RefSeq lists it as uncharacterized. The record is from RefSeq and is a predicted model, not a curated record. The transcript has 2 exons. Lineage: Eukaryota; Metazoa; Arthropoda; Insecta; Diptera; Drosophilidae.
CACAACAAAAACAUCGUACAGCCCACAGGAUGUGAAGCCAGGUCGCACUCCUUCCUUCACAGUAGGCCAUGAGGGCUCCUCCUUACACCCUUUAGUCGCCUUUUACGCCAAGCCGGGAACGCUGAGAAUUUUACCGUGGAACUUCAGGCGGGAGUGGAGGCCGAGCUGGACAUUGAGCUCUUCCGUGAGGCACUGAACCGUGCCGGCGGCGCCAACUACGGAACGGGCAUCCGGGAUAACUAAGCGUCCUCCAAGUUACUUUAUAUAUACAUUUUUUAUUUGCAACUCUUAACUGCUUACCAAACUGCUCCUUUCUCUUUAAUUAUUAUGAAUUAAUUUUAUGAAAUUUAAAAACUGUACAUUUUAUGAAAUAUUAUACAAGCAAUUGUAC